UACAGGGGGAUAACACUUAGAAAUAGGUGCUAAUACCGUAUAAGCGCACGGUUCCGCAUGGAACAGUGUGAAAAACUCCGGUGGUAUACGAUGGAUCCGCGUCUGAUUAGCCAGUUGGCGGGGUAACGGCCCACCAAAGCGACGAUCAGUAGCCGGCCUGAGAGGGUGAACGGCCACAUUGGGACUGAGACACGGCCCAAACUCCUACGGGAGGCAGCAGUGGGGAAUAUUGCACAAUGGGGGAAACCCUGAUGCAGCGACGCCGCGUGAGUGAAGAAGUAUCUCGGUACGUAAAGCUCUAUCAGCAGGGAAGAAAAUGACGGUACCUGAUUAAGAAGCCCCGGCUAACUACGUGCCAGCAGCCGCGGUAAUACGUAGGGGGCAAGCGUUAUCCGGAUUUACUGGGUGUAAAGGGAGCGUAGACGGCAGCGCAAGUCUGGAGUGAAAUGCCGGGGCCCAACCCCGGAACUGCUUUGGAAACUGUGCAGCUCGAGUGCAGGAGAGGUAAGCGGAAUUCCCAGUGUAGCGGUGAAAUGCGUAGAUAUUAGGAGGAACACCAGUGGCGAAGGUGGCUUACUGGACUGUAACUGACGUUGAGGCUCGAAAGCGUGGGGAGCAAACAGGAUUAGAUACCCUGGUAGUCCACGCCGUAAACGAUGAUUACUAGGUGUCGGGGGGCCAAGGCCCUCCGGUGCCGGCG
This 700-nucleotide ribosomal RNA is filed under the name uncultured bacterium. Its description in RNAcentral is "bacterial SSU rRNA". It matches the Rfam family "Bacterial small subunit ribosomal RNA", at positions 134 to 851 of the family's 1533-position model. The record is from RNAcentral.